CCCAGUUUGCUUUUUUUCAUCCAAAUUCUACCUUGGGUUAUUGAAAAUCCAUUAAAUUUUGAAGUACAUGCCUUAGAUAGGUGGAUCGUUAAAUUAUUAUUAUUAUUAUGUUAAAAACGUUUUGCUUCAAUGUUAAAAUUUAUCUGCUUUUCACGACGAUUAUUAACUUAGGAGAAGGGUUAAACUGCACGUGUGGGCGGCCUGGCACAGCGAAUUCGAGGAUCGUCAAUGGCUUAGAAACAAGCAGGAAUGAAUUUCCAUGGAUCGUUGCUAUCAGCCUCGUCUCGGACUCGUUCGUGGCCACGGCGGCGCACUGCCUGGCCAACCUGCGCUCGCCCACACAGUGGGAGAUGUCCGAGGUGGUGCUGGGCAUGCACUACGCGCGCAGCAGCCCACCGGAGGUGCAGGUGCGCGGCAUCAAAAGGGCGGUGAUGAAGGUGCAGUACCGCAAUGAGAACAAGGACAGCGACAUCGCGCUGAUCGAGCUCGACCGGCCUGUCAACAUCUCCGCGGUCAUCUACCCCAUCUGCCUGCCGUACGAUCUCAAGUUUCCGGUGGCCGAUCCGUGGGUGGUGACGGCCGGCUGGGGCCGCACCUCCUACCGCGGCCGACAGUCGGAAGUCCUCAUGAAGAGCAAGUGGAUGGAGAUGAUCCGGCACGACCACUGCGCGGCCGCCACCAAGUACCGCGAGCGGCCCGGCCUGCUGACCGAGAGGAUGCUCUGCGGGGUGUCCGACCUUACCGACGCCUGCCUCGGCGACUCGGGCGGGCCUCUGAUGUUCUACCAUCCCAAGUACUACCGCUGGUUCCUGGUGGGAGUGACCAGCUUCGGCUGGGGAUGUAACGAGCCCAACGACCCGGGCGUGUACACCAGCCUCUACCACCCGGACAUCCUGGGCUGGCUGAGCUGCGCCAACACCGGACAAAUGUGUCAGAACUGAGCUGCGCCAACACCGGACAAAUGUGUCAGAACUGAGCUGCGCCAACACCGGACAAAUGUGUCAGAACUGAGCUGCGCCAACACCGGACAAAUGUGCCAGAACUGAGCCCUACCAACACCGGACAAAUGUGUCAGAACUGAGCUGCGCCAACACCGGACUAAUGUGUCUGAACUGAGCUGCGCCAACACCGGACAAAUGUGUCACAACUGAGCUGCGCCAACACCGGACAAAUGUGUCAGAACUGAGCCCUACCAACACCGGACAAAUGUGUCAAAACUGAGCUGCACCAACAUCGGUCAAAUGUGUCAGAACUGAGCUGCGCCAACACCGGACAAAUGUGUCAGAAUUGACAGUAACACCGGACAAAUGUAUCAUAAUUGAUAGUAACACCGGACAAAUGUGUCAGAAUUGACAGUAAUACCGGACAAGUGUGUCGGAAUUGACAGUAACAACACCGGAGAAAUGUGUCAGAAUUGACAGUAACACCGGACAAAUGUGUCAGAAUUGGCACAAACAGCAGACAAAUGUGUCAGGACUGAUAUAAACACCAGACCCGAGGUCAGGCCCGUCCAGUCAAAACUGGCCCGUGCUCCGACCCGCUCGGUCAAAACUGGUCUCCCGUUUCCAAGUCAAAGCGAUCAGCAAUAGGCGAUAAAAGUGCCGAAAUCACGAGUGUAUCUGCCCGCGACUCGGAUCAUGUUGGGCCAGUGCGUUGCUGGCGAUUAUUUGUCGUUUUAUGCCCCAUUAGCCACGGAGUUAGUUUGCGCCCUCAUCGUAUAGCUAGUAAGAGCGUAUGGUACGAAUUCCGCGAUAAUAUAUGUUUUUGGAAUAAUAGCUCAUACCUCGAACGAAACAAAUCCCCCAUAUUUUCGCGAGUUCCCAAUUUGUUCCAGACAUCAACUGAAACACCUCAUAUGCCUUCAUCUGCAUAAGACUGACAUCGAUUGACCAAAUUUUGUCGAGAGCUGUUCAAAUGUUGGUAAGCAAUGACGUUUGUUUGACGUGGGACGUCCUUUUCGUUCAUUUACUCCAGAUAAAGGAGUGAGAUACGCAUUGGAGGCGGAGUUUGUGUGUGCGCUUCGGCCAUGUCUUUCUUUGUAAUAGUAAAUUAGAGGCAUGAUCAGCGA
Molecule: unclassified non-coding RNA, 2068 nt
Filed under: Amphibalanus amphitrite
Lineage: Eukaryota; Metazoa; Arthropoda; Thecostraca; Balanomorpha; Balanidae
Description: vitamin K-dependent protein C-like, transcript variant X3
Source: RNAcentral